This 1832-nucleotide unclassified non-coding RNA is filed under the name Hevea brasiliensis (rubber tree). The record is from RNAcentral. Lineage: Eukaryota; Viridiplantae; Streptophyta; Magnoliopsida; Malpighiales; Euphorbiaceae.
GAGAGUUCUUACCUGCAAUACUCGAGUUCCUUCGCCUUGGAUCGAAAAGGAGGGAGACACAAAGAGUUAAUGGCUGGUGGAGGAUUUGCAGAUGGAGGAACCCUCAAAAGGGCUCAUCUCUACGAAUAUAAGAUCACCGGUUACUUCAUAUUCGCUUGCAUAGUUGCAGCUCUUGGAGGAUCCCUUUUUGGGUAUGAUCUUGGUGUUUCUGGCGGUGUCACUUCCAUGGAUGAUUUCUUGAAAGACUUCUUCCCGAAAGUGUAUAGAAGGAAGCAAGAACAUCUCCAUGAGACAGAUUACUGUAAAUACGAUAGCCAAAUACUCACACUCUUUACAUCCUCAUUGUACUUUGCUGCUCUUGUUUCCACAUUUGGAGCCUCCCAUGUUACCAGAAACAAAGGACGAAGAGCCAGCAUUAUUGUUGGAUCAAUAAGCUUCUUUUUAGGAGCAGUCCUCAAUGCAGCUGCAGUGAACAUUUCAAUGUUGAUCAUAGGACGAAUCCUGCUUGGUGUAGGCAUUGGAUUUGGCAACCAAGCAGUUCCCUUGUAUCUUUCAGAAAUGGCUCCUGCAAAAGUGCGUGGAGCAGUUAACCAAUUGUUCCAAUUGACAACCUGUUUAGGAAUCCUGAUUGCCAACCUAAUAAAUUAUGGAACUGAAAAAAUCCAUCCAUGGGGAUGGAGGUUAUCUCUUGGUUUAGCCACAGUUCCUGCGACUCUAAUGUUUGUUGGGGGAGUUUUCCUCCCUGAGACUCCCAACAGUCUUGUAGAACAAGGCAGAUUAGAAGAAGGAAGAAAAGUAUUGGAGAAAAUUAGAGGGACAGCAAAAGUUGAUGCUGAAUUUGCUGAUCUUAUUGAUGCAAGCAAUGCUGCAAGAGCCAUAGAGCACCCGUUUAAGAACCUUCUCAAGAGAAAGAAUCGCCCCCAAUUAAUAAUAGGGGCUUUGGGAAUCCCUGCAUUUCAACAGCUUACUGGCAUGAAUUCUAUACUCUUCUAUGCUCCUGUAAUAUUUCAGAGCUUGGGUUUUGGUUCUGGGGCAUCUCUAUAUUCAUCCGUCAUAACCAGCGGAGCACUUGUUGUCGGUGCCCUCAUUUCAAUGGCUUUAGUUGACAAAUUUGGAAGAAGAGCUUUCUUUCUGGAAGCUGGAACUGAGAUGUUCUGCUUCAUGGUGGCUGUGGCUAUAACUUUGGCGCUGAAGUUUGGACAAGGGGUAACCCUCCCAAAAGGAAUUGGCAUCUUCCUUGUGAUAAUCAUUUGCUUGUUUGUCUUGGCAUAUGGAAGAUCUUGGGGCCCUCUUGGUUGGCUGGUUCCGAGCGAGAUCUUCCCACUGGAGACGAGAUCAGCUGGCCAGAGUAUGGUGGUCUGUGUCAACAUGCUCUUCACAGCUCUGAUAGCACAGUGUUUCCUGGUGUCACUCUGCCACCUUCGAUAUGGAAUCUUUUUGCUGUUUGCUGGCUUGAUUUUGAUAAUGAGCAGCUUCAUAUUCUUCUUGCUGCCAGAAACAAAGCAAGUGCCAAUUGAAGAGGUAUAUCUUCUCUGGCAAAAUCAUUGGUUCUGGAAGCGCAUAGUGGGAGAUGGGGACCAAGUUGAACCAGAUGGCAAGCUAGGCUCGCAAGUUUAAAUUAUCUCCUCAAAUGGGGAAAAGAAAACAUUAUUUCCUGUUUGUGAGUUAAAGAAAGUACUUGAUACAACAAAUCCUUAAUCCUAACUAAUUGAAGUCUGGCUACCGCAAGUUGUAAUUUAGAAUACAUUUCUUUCUUGAUAGCAGACAUUUUAAUCAAAGUUGAUGUUAAAUUCAGAAUUAAACUUAACAAUAAAACCCAAUUGCUUCCCUUA